RNAcentral lists this ribosomal RNA (658 nucleotides) under uncultured bacterium. Its description in RNAcentral is "bacterial SSU rRNA". It matches the Rfam family "Bacterial small subunit ribosomal RNA", at positions 230 to 884 of the family's 1533-position model. The record is from RNAcentral.
UCGCGGCCCUAUCAGCUUGUUGGUGGGGUGAUGGCCUACCAAGGCGACGACGGGUAGCCGGCCUGAGAGGGUGUCCGGCCACACUGGGACUGAGAUACGGCCCAGACUCCUACGGGAGGCAGCAGUGGGGAAUAUUGCACAAUGGGCGCAAGCCUGAUGCAGCGACGCCGCGUGGGGGAUGACGGCCUUCGGGUUGUAAACCUCUUUCACCAUCGGCGAAGCCUUCAGCUUUUGUUGGGGGUGACGGUAGGUGGAGAAGAAGCACCGGCCAACUACGUGCCAGCAGCCGCGGUAAUACGUAGGGUGCGAGCGUUGUCCGGAAUUACUGGGCGUAAAGAGCUCGUAGGUGGUUUGUCGCGUUGUUCGUGAAAUUCCCUGGCUUAACUGGGGGCGUGCGGGCGAUACGGGCAGACUGGAGUACUGCAGGGGAGACUGGAAUUCCUGGUGUAGCGGUGGAAUGCGCAGAUAUCAGGAGGAACACCGGUGGCGAAGGCGGGUCUCUGGGCAGUAACUGACGCUGAGGAGCGAAAGCGUGGGGAGCGAACAGGAUUAGAUACCCUGGUAGUCCACGCCGUAAACGGUGGGUACUAGGUGUGGGUUUCCUUCCUUGGGAUCCGUGCCGUAGCUCACGCAUUAAAUACCCCGCCUGGGGAGUACA